GGGCCUAUAGCUCAGUUGGUUAGAGCGCACCCCUGAUAAGGGUGAGGUC
This 49-nucleotide transfer RNA is filed under the name Acidimicrobiaceae bacterium. RNAcentral's name for it is "tRNA-Ile". It matches the Rfam family "tRNA", at positions 1 to 46 of the family's 71-position model. Rfam says of the family: Transfer RNA (tRNA) molecules are approximately 80 nucleotides in length. Their secondary structure includes four short double-helical elements and three loops (D, anti-codon, and T loops). Further hydrogen bonds mediate the characteristic L-shaped molecular structure. tRNAs have two regions of fundamental functional importance: the anti-codon, which is responsible for specific mRNA codon recognition, and the 3' end, to which the tRNAs corresponding amino acid is attached (by aminoacyl-tRNA synthetases). tRNAs cope with the degeneracy of the genetic code in two manners: having more than one tRNA (with a specific anti-codon) for a particular amino acid; and 'wobble' base-pairing, i.e. permitting non-standard base-pairing at the 3rd anti-codon position. Lineage: Bacteria; Bacillati; Actinomycetota; Acidimicrobiia; Acidimicrobiales; Acidimicrobiaceae. The record is from RNAcentral.